CAUUCAAAAUCCUAAAGACAACUGCAUAUUUUUAGUAAUUAACUGCUUAUAAUAUGUCAUGAUAUAGCUACAAUAUUUUUUAACCUCUAUUUUUCACUACUUUUUGGUUGCCUCUUAAUAUGACAAUGAUUUUGUUAUACUAUGUUCAAUAGAGAUAAAAGAAAGAUAAUUCACUCUUUCCUCUAGCACGGUUGACUGGAGUUUCUUUAUUAUUGAAAGUUGCAAUGCAUAAAACUCACAAUUUCUCACCAGACAUAUUGGCUUUUUAUGGCACUCCUACAGGUCUGCAUCUAUAGACACAGCAUUGUGAUGAAUUCUAUUUCACACAAUUCUCAUUUUAAAAGAAAAAACUUAUGGUGCAUUUAUAACUAUAAAUAAUGCCUUAUUAAGUAUGGUCCUGACAGGAGAGAAUGUUGCCUUUACCAGGCAUCGUUGAAAUGGAAUCUUCCGUUUACAACUGUAUACAUGUGAUGACUAGACACGGUUUCCACAGGCUGGCUUUUAGCUCCAUACCUUGAAAAUCUCGCUUCUCCUCCAUUCCCCACAGGCCUCCAGUAUUUAGUUUGUUGAUGAGACCUUUGGUCUGCAACCCUGUGUCAUGAUGGCAGAUGAGCUGGCACAGUGGAGGUGGCAUUCCUGGAAGCCAUCCCUACAUCAGGAAGGCUAAAAAUAACUUAAUUGUACACAGGAGGGACAGGAAACCACAUAAAUACAUCCCACGAAGCCCAACCAAAGUAUCCGCAACUCCAGGUCCUCUUAGCUAGAAUACUCAAUUGCUCUGGCACCAACUUGAACACCACUUGACAGCCCCGGGGGGUAUGAUGGAAGAGGAGUCAGAGUGGAAAUAACAUUCUUAACCAACUGUGGUUAAAAUAUCUGAUUUUUGCAAAUUUUAUGAGGACAAAGGGCAAUGAGAACACCUGGAAGGUCCAGGGCCGAUGAGAAGCCUCAACUUCAGUAGCCUCCCUGUGAAUUUCCCCCAUCCUUGAAGCGAAGGACUGCCCACUCCGCCUGCCUGUGGGAGGAUGUAGCCAGGUUAGCAGGGAUUACAGAGUAAAAUAGCUUGAAGAUGAAAGAGCAUGAUUUUCCAUUUAAGGAGCAGUCUGCCAUUUCUGUUGGCCAGGAGAUGGUUGAUAUAUAUCUGAAGAUAAAUAGUUAAUAAAGGUG
Molecule: long non-coding RNA, 1167 nt
Filed under: Equus caballus (horse)
Lineage: Eukaryota; Metazoa; Chordata; Mammalia; Perissodactyla; Equidae
Description: lncRNA (ENSECAG00000052883.1)
Source: RNAcentral